Molecule: ribosomal RNA, 1291 nt
Filed under: metagenome
Description: bacterial LSU rRNA
Rfam family: Bacterial large subunit ribosomal RNA
Source: RNAcentral
GCCAAGAAAAGCCGCUAUAGAUCAUAUCGUACCCGUACCGUAAACCGACACAGGUAGAUGAGGAGAGAAUCCUAAGGCCGACGGGAGAAGCAUUGUUAAGGAACUCGGCAAAAUGACCCCGUAACUUCGGGAGAAGGGGUGCCCACGCGAGUGGGCCGCAGAGAAUAGGCUCAAGCAACUGUUUAGCAAAAACACAGGUCUAUGCGAAACCGAAAGGUGAGGUAUAUGGGCUGACGCCUGCCCGGUGCUGGAAGGUUAAGAGGAGGAGUCAGGCAACGAAGCUCCGAAUUUAAGCCCCAGUAAACGGCGGCCGUAACGAUAACGGUCCUAAGGUAGCGAAAUUCCUUGUCGGGUAAGUUCCGACCCGCACGAAAGGCGUAAUGAUUUGAGCACUGUCUCGACAAUGCACCCGGUGAAAUUGAAGUACCAGUGAAGAUGCUGGUUACCUGCGCCAGGACGGAAAGACCCCAUGGAGCUUUACUCCAGUUUGAUACUGGGAUUCGAUACUGAAUGUACAGGAUAGGUGGGAGGCUGAGAAGCGUGGACGCCAGUCUGCGGUGAGCCGCUGUUGGGAUACCACCCUUUGAGUAUUGGAUUUCUAACCUGCGCCCGUGACCCGGGCGGGGGACAAUGUCUGACGGGGAGUUUGACUGGGGCGGUCGCCUCCGAAAGGGUAUCGGAGGCGCUCAAAGGUUCCCUCAGAAUGGUUGGAAACCAUUCGCAGAGUGCAAAGGCAGAAGGGAGCUUGACUGUGACACCGACGGGUGGAGCAGGUACGAAAGUAGGACUUAGUGAUCCGGUGGUAUGAAAGUGGGAUUGCCAUCGCUCAACGGAUAAAAGCUACCCUGGGAUAACAGGCUUAUCACUCCCAAGAGUUCACAUCGACGGAGUGGUUUGGCACCUUGAUGUCGGCUCAUCGCAUCCUGGGGCUGUAGCAGGUCCCAAGGGUUGGGCUGUUCGCCCAUUAAAGCGGUACGCGAGCUGGGUUCAGAACGUCGUGAGACAGUUCGGUCCCUAUCCGGCGCAGGCGUAGGAUAUUUGAGAGGAGCUGUCCUUAGUAGGAGAGGACCGGGAUGGACAGACCGCUGGUGUAUCUGUUGGUGACCAACACCAUGGCAGAGUAGCCAAGUCUGGCAGGGAUAAACGCUGAAGGCAUCUAAGCGUGAAGCCCCCCUCAAGAUGAGAUAUCCCAAUAAGUAAGACCCCUUAGAGAGUAUGAGGUAGAUAGGCUUAAGGUGUAAGCAUAGUAAUAUGUUCAGCUGAUAAGUACUAAUAGGUCGAGGGCUUAUCU